This 71-nucleotide ribosomal RNA is filed under the name Candidatus Levybacteria bacterium RIFCSPHIGHO2_12_FULL_39_9. RNAcentral's name for it is "partial 16S ribosomal RNA". It matches the Rfam family "Bacterial small subunit ribosomal RNA", at positions 1 to 67 of the family's 1533-position model. Lineage: Bacteria; Candidatus Levyibacteriota. The record is from RNAcentral.
CAAUUUUUUUGAGAGUUUGAUCCUGGCUCAGGAUGAACGCUGGCGGCGUGCCUUAAGCAUGCAAGUCGAAU